Molecule: small nucleolar RNA, 127 nt
Organism: Rattus norvegicus (Norway rat)
Lineage: Eukaryota; Metazoa; Chordata; Mammalia; Rodentia; Muridae
Product: small nucleolar RNA SNORA17
Source: Ensembl
CCUGCCCCUAGAGGCACUGCUGGUGUGUCUGCUGUGUGACAUAAAUGUCAGUGGGUGGCAGAGAAGAGAGACUAUGUCUAUGCUCAGUGUUCUGAUCUAUGAACUGAAAGAUUACUAGCCUAACACG